This 372-nucleotide ribosomal RNA is filed under the name uncultured organism. RNAcentral's name for it is "bacterial SSU rRNA". It matches the Rfam family "Bacterial small subunit ribosomal RNA", at positions 526 to 896 of the family's 1533-position model. The record is from RNAcentral.
CGUAGGCCACAAGCGUUAUCCGGAUUUAUUGGGCGUAAAGCGUGUGUAGGGGGCCCGGUGCGUCUAUGGUUAAAGCCCACCGCCUAACGGUGGAAGUGCCAUGGAUACGAUCGGGCUGGAGGGUGUUAGAGGUGCACGGAACAUACGGUGUAGGGGUGAAAUCCGUUGAUAUCGUAUGGAACACCGAAGGCGAAGGCAGUGCACUGGGACAUUCCUGACCCUGAGACACGAAAGCGUGGGGAGCAAAAAGGAUUAGAUACCCUUGUAGUCCACGCCCUAAACGAUGCCUGCUAGCUGUUUCGAGUAUCGACCCUCGGAGUGGCGAAGCUAACGCGUUAAGCAGGCCGCCUGGGAAGUACGAGCGCAAGCUUA